UACGGAGGGUGCAAGCGUUGCUCGGAAUUACUGGGCGUAAAGCGCACGCAGGCGGUUUGUCAGGUCGGAUGUGAAAGCCCGGGGCUCAACCCCGGAACUGCAUUCGAAACCGGCAGACUUGAGUUCGAGAGAGGGUGGUGGAAUUCCUGGUGUAGAGGUGAAAUUCGUUGAUAUCAGGAGGAACACCGGUGGCGAAGGCGACCACCUGGCUCGAUACUGACGCUCAUGUGCGAAAGCGUGGGGAGCAAACAGG
RNAcentral lists this ribosomal RNA (253 nucleotides) under uncultured bacterium. RNAcentral describes it as "partial 16S ribosomal RNA". It matches the Rfam family "Bacterial small subunit ribosomal RNA", at positions 524 to 776 of the family's 1533-position model. The record is from RNAcentral.